Molecule: ribosomal RNA, 497 nt
Filed under: uncultured bacterium
Lineage: Bacteria
Description: partial 16S ribosomal RNA
Rfam family: Bacterial small subunit ribosomal RNA
Source: RNAcentral
GAUGAACGCUGGCGGCGUGCCUAAUACAUGCAAGUCGAGCGAACAGAUGAGGAGCUUGCGCCUCGGACGUUAGCGGCGGACGGGUGAGUAACGCGUGGAUAACCUACCUAUAAUACUGGGAUCACUACGGGAAACCGGAGCUAAUACCGGAGAAUAUAUUGAACCGCAUGGUUGGAUAGUGAAAGACGGUUUUGCUGUCACGUAUAGAUGGAUCCGCGCCGCAUUAGCGGGUUGGUAAGGUAACGGCUUACGAAGGCAACGAUGCGUAGGCGACCUGAGGGGGUGAUCGGCGACCUUGGAGGUGGGACACGGCCCAGAGGCCUGCGGGAGGCAGCAGUAGGGAAUGUGCCGCAAUGGGCGAAAGCCUGACAGAGCGACGCCGAGUGAGAGAUGAAGGUCUUCGGAGCGGAAAACUCUGUUAUUAGUGAAGAACAAAUGUGUAAGUAACUAUGCACGUCUUGACGGUAACUGAUCAGAAAGCCACGGCUAACUACGUG